UACGGGGGGGGCAAGCGUUGUUCGGAAUUACUGGGCGUAAAGGGCUCGUAGGCGGCCAACUAAGUCAGACGUGAAAUCCCUCGGCUUAACCGGGGAACUGCGUCUGAUACUGGAUGGCUUGAGAUUGGGAGAGGGAUGCGGAAUUCCUGGUGUAGCGGUGAAAUGCGUAGAGAUCCGGAGGAACACCGAAGGCGAAGGCAGUGUCCUGGCGCGUAACUGACGCUGAGGUGCGAAAGCCAGGGGAGCGAACGGG
RNAcentral lists this ribosomal RNA (253 nucleotides) under uncultured bacterium. RNAcentral describes it as "partial 16S ribosomal RNA". It matches the Rfam family "Bacterial small subunit ribosomal RNA", at positions 524 to 776 of the family's 1533-position model. The record is from RNAcentral.